UCUGUGUGAUCGGGUUAGGUUUACUGUAGGUCUGUGUGAUAGGGUUAGGUUUACUGUAGGUCUGUGUGAUAGGGUUAGGUUUACUGUAGGUCUGUGUGUUAGGGUUAGGUUUACUGUAGGUCUGUGUGAUAGGGUUAGGUUUACUGUAGGUCUGUGUGAUAGGGUUAGGUUUACUGUAGGUCUGUGUGUUAGGGUUAGGUUUACUGUAGGUCUGUGUGAUAGGGUUAGGUUUACUGUAGGUCUGUGUGAUCGGGUUAGGUUUACUGUAGGUCUGUGUGUUAGGGUUAGGUUUACUGUAGGUCUGUGUUUGGGUUAGGUUUACUGUAGGUCUGUGUGAUAGGGUUAGGUUUACUGUAGGUCUGUGUGAUAGGGUUAGGUUUACUGUAGGCCUGUGUGUUAGGAUUAGGUUUACUGUAGGUCUGUGUGUUUGGGUUAGGUUUACUGUAGGCCUGUGUGUUAGGAUUAGGUUUACUGUAGGUCUGUGUGUUUGGGUUAGGUUUACUGUAGGUCUGUGUGUUAGGAUUAGGUUUACUGUAGGCCUGUGUGUUAGGAUUAGGUUUACUGUAGGUCUGUGUGUUUGGGUUAGGUUUAAUGUAGGUCUGUGUGUUUGGGUUAGGUUUACUGUAGGUCUGUAUGUUAGGGUUAGGUUUACUGUAGGUCUGUGUGUUAGGGUUAGGUUUACUGUAGGUCUGUGUGAUAGGGUUAGGUUUACUGUAGGUCUGUGUGGUAGGGUUAGGUUUACUGUAGGUCUGUGUGUUAGGGUUAGGUUUACUGUAGGUCUGUGUGAUCGGGUUAGGUUUACUGUAGGUCUGUGUGUUAGGGUUAGGUUUACUGUAGGUCUGUGUGUUAGGGUUAGGUUUACUGUAGGUCUGUGUGAUAGGGUUAGGUUUACUGUAGGUCUGUGUGAUAGGGUUAGGUUUACUGUAGGUCUGUGUGAUAGGGUUAGGUUUACUGUAGGUCUGUGUGUUAGGGUUAGGUUUACUGUAGGUCUGUGUGAUAGGGUUAGGUUUACUGUAGGUCUGUGUGUUAGGGUUAGGUUUACUGUAGGUCUGUGUGAUAGGGUUAGGUUUACUGUAGGUCUGUGUGUUAGGGUUAGGUUUACUGUAGGUCUGUGUGUUAGGGUUAGGUUUACUGUAGGUCUGUGUGUUAGGGUUAGGUUUACUCUAGGUCUGUGUGAUAGGGUUAGGUUUACUGUAGGUCUGUGUGAUAGGGUUAGGUUUACUGUAGGUCUGUGUGAUAGGGUUAGGUUUACUGUAGGUCUGUGUGUUAGGGUUAGGUUUACUGUAGGUCUGUGUGAUAGGGUUAGGUUUACUGUAGGUCUGUGUGAUAGGGUUAGGUUUACUGUAGGUCUGUGUGAUAGGGUUAGGUUUACUGUAGGUCUGUGUGUUAGGGUUAGGUUUACUGUAGGUCUGUGUGAUAGGGUUAGGUUUACUGUAGGUCUGUGUGUUAGGGUUAGGUUUACUGUAGGUCUGAGAUAGGCUUAGGUUUACUGUAGGUCUGUGUGUUAGGGUUAGGUUUACUGUAGGUCUCUGGGUAGCAUGAAUAAACCGCUAGUCCCACAAACAUUAGACAUUCAUUCAAUUGCUUCAGCUCACGGGGGGAGAUAUUGAAGGAGUCAGAAGAAUCAAUAUCUGGUUUGAUUUCCCCGUUUUUCCAAUUCCCGCCGGUAGCCUCAUGUAGUUUGUUAGCCGUCAGACAGCUCUCGCUAGUCCUCGAAGGCUGUGAGCCCUCCCCAGAUCUCCCUCUCUGGGGGGCCUUUAGACAGACAGAGAGAACGCAGAAAAAUGAGAGCUUGACAGAGACGUGACGGAGGUGUGAAGGAGACGUGACGGAGGUGUGAAGGAGACGUGACGGAGGUGUGAAGGAGACGUGACGGAGGUGUGAAGGAGACGUGACGGAGGUGUGAAGGAGACGUGACGGAGGUGUGAAGGAGACGUGACGGAGGUGUGAAGGAGACGUGACGGAGGUGUGAAGGAGACGUGACGGAGGUGUGAAGGAGACGUGACGGGAGACAAGUGAACCCCAGUCAGAAGGGAGAGGUGUAGAAGGAGACGUGACGGGAGACAAGUGAACCCCAGUCAGAAGGGAGAGGUGUAGAAGGAGACGUGACGGGAGACAAGUGAACCCCAGUCAGAAGGGAGAGGUGUAGAAGGAGACGUGACGGGAGACAAGUGAACCCCAGUCAGAAGGGAGAGGUGUAGAAGGAGACGUGACGGGAGACAAGUGAACCCCAGUCAGAAGGGAGAGGUGUAGAAGGUGGAGCCUGUAGUCUUCAGAAGUAAUGCUUCUGGAGGUUUGGAGAAUGACAGAUUUAAAAAUAAAAAUAAAUAUUUUUAAAUGUAACUUAUUUAACUAGGCAAGUCAGUUAAGAACAAAUUCUUAUUUACAAUGACGGCCUACCGGGGAACAGAA
Molecule: long non-coding RNA, 2412 nt
Organism: Oncorhynchus keta (chum salmon)
Lineage: Eukaryota; Metazoa; Chordata; Actinopteri; Salmoniformes; Salmonidae
Exons: 4
Source: RefSeq, a predicted model, not a curated record